AUGGCUCUGUUGAUCUGGGAGGUGCAGAGGCUCAAUUUGGAUUACAAGACCAACUGGCUUCCUGUGGGGUACUAUUUUACAAAGAAUUUGGCAGGAGAGCAACUUCAGCUUCUUGCCUUGAAGGUAAUGGAGUCCGUGGAAGAAGCGUGUUUCAAAUUGGUACGCCUUGUCGGAGAUAGUCACAGAUCGAACUCGAAGUUUUUCUCCAAUCUGUCGGGUGGCCCCAUACAACCUGUUGUUGAACAUCCUCUAGAUUCAGGUCGGGAGCUUUUUCUUUCAUUCGACUAUUGUCAUAUAUUGAAAAACAUCAGGUCCCAGUUUCUUGACGUAAAGAGAUUAUUCAGGAGAAAGGGACAACUCAUCCUGCCAGACUUUCUAAGACUGCUGUACAAGAUUCAAGAGAAGCAGGGCGCCUUCAAAAUUGGUGAGGAGCCUAACCAAGAAGCACCUGUAGCCGUCAAAUUUCGAGAAAAUGAAUGUCGGCAGGGCUAUUCAAGUUUUUUCACCUCAGGUCACCACAGUCUUGCGAUUUUUACAACAACAUGGACAGAGCCUUGGAGCUCCUGGCUUCCAGAAUUGCCUGCCGACGGUGGAAUUCAUGGAAUUGGUGCACAAAUGGUUUGUGCUCCACAAUAUUAAGAGCACUACUCUUCACUGGACCAGCAGAGAUGCCAUGAGGAUGCCAUUUUACAGUGCAGAUGACGAGAGACUUUCAUGGCUAGAAAAUGACUUCCUGAAGUAUUUCAGCGAAUGGAAGGAAGCCAUAAUGUAUAAGAUGGAGUUUCUGUCCGAAGAAACUUACGAGGCACUGAGAGUGACUAGCAUGUCCACAGUGCUGUGCACGAGAUUCCUCUUGAAAACAGGAUUUCAUUUUGUGCUGACGUCAAAGUUUUCAAGCGAUGAUGUCGAGUCGCUUUUUUCGACAAUCAGGCAGCUCAAUGGGCCGAAUGACCAAACCGAUGCCUAUGCAGCCCUGUCAUCACUGCAAAAGAUCUUGGUCACUGGAAUCGUCCACGCUUCGACCAGUGCCAAUGCAGGAAGCGUGGUGGGCUCGCUGGGGAAGGCUUCAAAGCUGUUUCCCAUUCCUGUGAAGACCACUUCAGACAACGAUGUCAGGAAGCUUCUGCUCCCUCAUCUCACUGCGCUGGAGCGCUAUCCAAGUGCCCCUCAGCGAAGCCUUCGAGCCAGCACGCUGGCAAUGAUUGCUGGCUUCUUGGUCAGAGCCGUGCAGGAUUGUAUUGAAUGUGAGGGCUGCCUCAUUAAUAUGCGGGCACCAGUCUCUCACUCUACAACCACUGCCAUCAUUGCUGGCAUGGACCGCAGCGGGCUGUCAUAUCCUACUUUGGCAUUCGUAGGGUUCGUCAGCCGCCUGGAAAAUGCUGCAUCAAGCGUGGCUCCUGCACUUGUUAGGGGGCCAAAGCCACAGAAGAAGUUCACGGACCUGGUGCUGCCAUUACUUCAAAAGAAUCCGUUGUUUGUGUGCCCAAAGGACACCCCUGAGCCUCACAGAUUAGCCCUGCUCAGGCUGCUCGUCCAGAAGUUUAUGAGGCCAUUUUUGGCGAAUUUUACUUCUGAUUUGGCACAGGAGCACGCCAAGCGGAAGAUAAUUAACGCCAAGCCAAAAUCGCGGAAGAUUCUGAAAGUUUAA
RNA transcript from Dermacentor silvarum, 1648 nucleotides. RefSeq lists it as uncharacterized. NCBI's taxonomy places the organism in Eukaryota, Metazoa, Arthropoda, Arachnida, Ixodida, Ixodidae. The record is from RefSeq and is a predicted model, not a curated record. The transcript has 7 exons.